This 249-nucleotide ribosomal RNA is filed under the name uncultured bacterium. RNAcentral describes it as "partial 16S ribosomal RNA". The record is from RNAcentral.
CUCCCUGCCCGUCGCGCGACCCGACGCGCUUGCUCCUUUGACCGUCCGCGGCGGACCGGGUGACGUCCCCCGUCGGGCACCCUCCCUCUCUCGUUGGGACUCCCUCCGGGACCCCCGGGGCUCCUACCCGACACUACCUCUACUUUUACCUCUCCCUGGAUGACCGUACCUGACACACGACCGGUUUCGGCUGUCGCUACUCCGACUGGUGCCCGCGGCGCCUUACCUACGUNUGGUGACGGUACCCGU